CCUCUACAAAACAAAGCGCUCCUUCGUAUGCCCACUUCCCCUCAAACAAUGGGAGACCUUUUACAGCUGAGAAGAACUCAAAAUCCACUUUUAUUCUUACUUUCACUAAUCCUUUAAAAACACAUCUUACCUCCUCCCCAUAUCCCGUUUCUAUCUUAUAUUUCCUACUCAGAAAAAUUGACAUCUUAGCUUGUCCCCCCAAAAAAUUUAACAGUUGACAUUUUCUUUUCUGUUGCUUACUAUAUUGAAACCCCAAAAUAAAAACAGUGUUAUUGAAAAUCUCCCCUACAGCUUUAAACAAAGACUCCAGCAUUUCCAGAAGGUGACUGUUGACCCAGGGUUUAGAGUGUUCCCUCAGCAGUAGAAGGUGACUGUUGACCCAGGGUUUAGAGUAUUCCCUCAGCAGUAGAAGGUGACUGUUGACCCAGGGUUUAGAGUGUUCCCUCAGCAGUAGGUGACUGUUGACCCAGGGUUUAGAGUGUUCCCUCAGCAGUAGAAGGUGACUGUUGACCCAGGGUUUAGAGUGUUCCCUCAGCAGUAGGUGACUGUUGACCCAGGGUUUAGAGUGUUCCCUCAGCAGUAGGUGACUGUUGACCCAGGGUUUAGAGUAUUCCCUCAGCAGUAGUAGGUGACUGUUGACCCAGGGUUUAGAGUAUUCCCUCAGCAGUAGGUGACUGUUGACCCAGGGUUUAGAGUGUUCCCUCAGCAGUAGAAGGUGACUGUUGACCCAGGGUUUAGAGUGUUCCCUCAGCAGUAGAAGGUGACUGUUGACCCAGGGUUUAGAGUAUUCCCUCUCAUACACUAUGGCUUUUUUUUAUGUCUCUUGCCCCAUUUACGUUUAAAGAAGAAAUCUUAAAACUGCUCAUGGGUGAUAAAAAAAUACAGAGGAAGACCCAGAAACCACAUCUCUU
RNAcentral lists this long non-coding RNA (911 nucleotides) under Salmo salar (Atlantic salmon). RNAcentral describes it as "lncRNA (ENSSSAG00000113790.1)". The record is from RNAcentral. Lineage: Eukaryota; Metazoa; Chordata; Actinopteri; Salmoniformes; Salmonidae.